RNAcentral lists this ribosomal RNA (246 nucleotides) under uncultured bacterium. RNAcentral's name for it is "partial small subunit ribosomal RNA". It matches the Rfam family "Bacterial small subunit ribosomal RNA", at positions 26 to 285 of the family's 1533-position model. The record is from RNAcentral.
AGAAUCAACGCUGGCGGCGUGCCUAACACAUGCAAGUCGAACGAGAAAGUGGAGCAAUCCAUUAGUAAAGUGGCGCACGGGUGAGUAACACGUGACUAACCUACCCUUGAGUGGGGGAUAACCUAGAGAAAUCUGGGCUAAUACCGCAUAAUACCUUCGGGUCAAAGGAGCAAUUCGCUUAAGGGAGGGGGUCGCGGCCGAUUAGUUAGUUGGCGGGGUAAUGGCCCACCAAGACUAUGAUCGGUA